AAUAAAAUGAAUGUCAGUCAAGUCUCCGUCUAUCUGUUCGCAUGCGUGACGGACGUUAGGAACUGGAUAUUGUCUUGUCCAUGAGGAACACGCCCUAUCAGAAUGUUCGUAGGUAUCAUGGGUGGGCAGAGGAAGUUGUUUUUCAAUUAAAUUACGCACCCAGCAAGCAACGGACGUGUCUAUGUGUGGUCCAUAUUAUUUAGAUUAAUUUCUGCAAUCUCUGUUUAAUUCAGAAGUAAAGUAGAGAUAUAACAAUGGCGACGAUGAUUAAUUGGCAUUAGCUAGUUGUAAACUACAGUUUCGUUAGUUAGUAUGGAGAAAUCCGGGAUUCAGCAUUUUGCAUGCUACACCGAGCCGGUGUUCUGCCAUUUUCUGCUACCCAUCAAAUUCUGCUACCUAGUGGUUCUGCGCAUGCAGAACCACUGAUUGGUGCGUGCGCACCAAUCAGUUUCUGGCGGAUGGUUCCAGAUGGAAGCGAUGGCCGACGUCGUUGCAGCUGUAUGCUGACGGCAAAGGGCUUAUCGUAGCCGCGGAUUCACCUGAUGCUACGAGGCAAAGGAGACGUGCUCUGCUACUUCAUCUGGCUGGACCAGACGUACAGGACAUCUUAUCAACUCUUCCGGACACGGUGUCCUCGGUCAUGGCUCAAUGUUGGAUACCGAGUGACAGCACCGCUGGGCGGACGCCGGACGCUAGCCUGUCACAUAGCGAUGCUGGAUUAGACCCCCCAGCAGAUGGCGCUAUUGCAACACGUACUCCCUUAGAAGCUCCCUCGUUUGUCCCUAAUGUGUUUCCAGAAGUACAUGUCACGUACGAUGGCGGUACAUCCGUAACGACAGUGUCCCUAAUGUGUCACGUACGAUGGCGGUACAUCCGUAACGACAGUGUCCCUAAUGUGUUUCCAGACGUAUAUGUCCCGUACGAUGGCGGUACAUCCGUACCGACAGUGUCCCUGAUGUGUCCCGUACGAUGGCGGUACAUCCGUAACGACAGUGUCCCUGAUGUGUUUCCAGACGUAUAUGUCCCGUACGAUGGCGGUACAUCCGUAACGACAGUGUCCCUGAUGUGGUUCUUGAGACGGAAAAUCGGCGGUGCCUAUUUCCCGAAAUAUCGAUCCCUGCUCACAUGCACACAUGUUCCCUUGCAGGGAAUGUUCAAGAACAUUGCAGGAAAAGACGUUGCAUCAUGUGUGAAAGCUGGUUUGAAAAGUGCUUUUCUAAAAAUGGACGAUUAUUGUUCUCAUGAUAUAUUAUAUAAAUGAUGUGAAUGUUUCUUCGAUGGAGAGGAGCUGGUGUUGAGAUCUGGAUGGGUGCAGUGAGCUGUGUCUGAGCUGAACUCUGCGUUAUCAUAAUAACACAUUAACUGGAUUCACAUGGUAAUGCAUAUAAAGAUUGAAGAGGUAGUUAGGUACGAGAGGAGUCACGAGAUGGAGGGAGAGGAGUGAAGGGAAGGAGGUGAACUGAUGAAGACGAUGUCGAGGGGCAGCCUUCUGCGGGCCUGCGAGGACGGAGGUGGCGGCUCGCCGGGGAGAGGAGGGCACGGAGAGCGUUCCUCAGAGAGGGCCGCUGAGAAGGCCCUGCAAACCCAGAGAAGGCCCUGCCAACCCAGAGAAGGCCCUGCAA
Gadus chalcogrammus (walleye pollock) is the source of this 1622-nucleotide long non-coding RNA. RefSeq lists it as uncharacterized. The transcript has 4 exons. The record is from RefSeq and is a predicted model, not a curated record. Lineage: Eukaryota; Metazoa; Chordata; Actinopteri; Gadiformes; Gadidae.